Long non-coding RNA from Lycium ferocissimum, 878 nucleotides. RefSeq lists it as uncharacterized. Lineage: Eukaryota; Viridiplantae; Streptophyta; Magnoliopsida; Solanales; Solanaceae. The transcript has 2 exons. The record is from RefSeq and is a predicted model, not a curated record.
GCGGAAAUAGCUAGAGUUUUACAAGAGUAUAAAUAUAAACCCGGUUAUCAAGCGGCUAUUUUUGAUAUGACAACAAAAUUUAAGAAGUAUUUUUUUCCCAUCCCAACUUUAUUUAUAUUGGGUUCUCUUUUAAAUCCUUGUUUAAAAGUGUCUUAUACUAAAGCAUUGGUUGGUCAAAUUUAUACAUUUUUAGAAAUUGAAGAGGGAGUUCAACCAUCUUUAGCUGAAGCCGAACUCGCUAUGGAUGACGAGUUUAGAAAAGUUUUUACUCAUUAUUCUAAUUUGGAAGAAUAUGCUACACCCGUUGCUCCACGCCCUACUACUUCUCAAAGUAGCAAAAAGGGCUUGUCGGGUUUGUCGCAUUUAAAAGUUUUACAUUCACAGCCAACUCCCUCUUGUAGUGCAAACUUUGAUAAAUAUAACUUUUAUUUGAUGCAGCCAAAUGUGGAUAUCAAGGAACUAGAUGUGUUGAACGUCUUAGCAUGGUGGAAGAAAUACAAGGCAAGUCAUCCGAUACUUUAAAGAAUGGCUCGAGAUAUCCUUACAGUUCAAGUAUCAACCGUGGCUUCGGAGAUGUGCAUUCGCGAUUGGAUUAGAUCGGAGCGACGCAACCAAAACUUAAAAGCGGAGGAAGGCGAAGAGGAAGAGAUUGAAGAUUUGAUAGCAAGUGGGCCGGACCAAAUAGAAGGCUUUGAAGAUAUCUCCAUGGCCGAAUAUGAUAUGGGGAAAAUUAACCAAAUGAUUGAGAAUUGCUGAUUUUAUUAUUCUACUAUUUCUUUGCAACUCAUGUAUUAUUUGCAAGUUAAAAAAAACUACAACUUGCAAAUAAAUGUUAUCCAAGAAUGAAUAAAAUAUAUGGCUCAUUGAGCUUUCUUCUA